RNAcentral lists this ribosomal RNA (373 nucleotides) under uncultured organism. RNAcentral's name for it is "partial 16S ribosomal RNA". It matches the Rfam family "Bacterial small subunit ribosomal RNA", at positions 526 to 896 of the family's 1533-position model. The record is from RNAcentral.
GUAGGGGUGCAAGCGUUAAUCGGGAAUUACUGGGCGUAAAGCGUGCGCAGGGCGGUUUUGUAAGUCUGACGUGAAAUCCCCGGGGCUUAACCUGGGAAUUGCGUUGGAGACUGCAAGGCUGGAGUCUGGCAGAGGGGGGUAGAAUUCCACGUGUAGCAGUGAAAUGCGUAGAGAUGUGGAGGAACACCGAUGGCGAAGGCAGCCCCCUGGGUCAAGACUGACGCUCAUGCACGAAAGCGUGGGGAGCAAACAGGAUUAGAUACCCUGGUAGUCCACGCCCUAAACGAUGUCUACUAGUUGUCGGGUCUUAAUUGACUUGGUAACGCAGCUAACGCGUGAAGUAGACCGCCUGGGGAGUACGGUCGCAAGAUUA